CUUGUAUUGUGUGUCCUGUAACUUUCAAAAUAAGCUGAAAUCCUAUACAUAUGUACUCUAUAAAUCAAGACAUUAAUUUUGAAUUACUUUUUCUAAGCUGGACAUAUUAUGCACACACUAUUGCCAAAACUGGAAAAAAAAAUAAUUCCCCCCACAUAAUUAUUUUUAAAAAAAUUUAUGAGAAUUUAUCUAUGUAUAUGUGACAUCAAAUUGAAGCACUUUUAAAAAAAAACAAAAAAAACAAACAACACAGUAUAUAAUGUGUCUUGGUGCAAAAAUGGCUUGUGUCCUUAAGGGAUUAACCCUGUAACUUUCCAAGUCAAUAAAACCUGUACAUGAGGGGUUUUGUUUUACUCGGAAACUUCGCUGAACACAAAUAUUAAGGUUUUAAAAGGUUAUUUGUAUAAAAAUGAUAUUGUCCAAAAGUGAAGUUUUUUGUAUUUUUCACACAUAAACGGCACUUUCUCUGACAAUAUUGUUGUGAUAAGUUUUACUGUUUUGAAGCCAUAAUAUCUGAGUUCAGAGAAGUCUCUCCCAUGUACAGGUUUU
Pelobates cultripes (western spadefoot toad) is the source of this 549-nucleotide non-coding RNA. The record is from the annotation of a GenBank genome assembly. NCBI's taxonomy places the organism in Eukaryota, Metazoa, Chordata, Amphibia, Anura, Pelobatidae.